CUCUGGCGGCAUGCCUUACACAUGCAAGUCGAACGGUAACAGGUCUUCGGAUGCUGACGAGUGGCGAACGGGUGAGUAAUACAUCGGAACGUGCCCAGUAAUGGGGGAUAGCUCGGCGAAAGCCGGAUUAAUACCGCAUACGCCCUGAGGGGGAAAGUGGGGGAUCGCAAGACCUCACGUUAUUGGAGCGGCCGAUGGCUGAUUAGCUAGUUGGUAGGGUAAAGGCCUACCAAGGCGACGAUCAGUAGCUGGUCUGAGAGGACGAUCAGCCACACUGGGACUGAGACACGGCCCAGACUCCUACGGGAGGCAGCAGUGGGGAAUUUUGGACAAUGGGGGAAACCCUGAUCCAGCAAUGCCGCGUGUGCGAAGAAGGCCUUCGGGUUGUAAAGCACUUUUGUCAGGGAAGAAAUCCUUUGGGCUAAUACCCUAGGGGGAUGACGGUACCUGAAGAAUAAGCACCGGCUAACUACGUGCCAGCAGCCGCGGUAAUACGUAGGGUGCAAGCGUUAAUCGGAAUUACUGGGCGUAAAGCGUGCGCAGGCGGUUGUGUAAGACAGGUGUGAAAUCCCCGGGCUUAACCUGGGAGUUGCAUUUGUGACUGCACGACUAGAGUGUGUCAGAGGGGGGUGGAAUUCCACGUGUAGCAGUGAAAUGCGUAGAUAUGUGGAGGAACACCAAUGGCGAAGGCAGCCCCCUGGGGAUAACACUGACGCUCAUGCACGAAAGCGUGGGGAGCAAACAGGAUUAGAUACCCUGGUAGUCCACGCCCUAAACGAUGUCAACUAGUUGUUGGGGAUUUACUUCCUUGGUAACGUAGCUAACGCGUGAAGUUGACCGCCUGGGGAGUACGGCCGCAAGGUUAAAACUCAAAGGAAUUGACGGGGACCCGCACAAGCGGUGGAUGAUGUGGAUUAAUUCGAUGCAACGCGAAAAACCUUACCUACCCUUGACAUGGCAGGAACUUUCCAGAGAUGGAUUGGUGCUCGAAAGAGAACCUGCACACAGGUGCUGCAUGGCUGUCGUCAGCUCGCGUCGUGAGAUGUUGGGUUAAGUCCCGCAACGAGCGCAACCCUUGUCAUUAGUUGCUACGAAAGGGCACUCUAAUGAGACUGCCGGUGACAAACCGGAGGAAGGUGGGGAUGACGUCAAGUCCUCAUGGCCCUUAUGGGUAGGGCUUCACACGUCAUACAAUGGUCGGUACAGAGGGUUGCCAAGCCGCGAGGUGGAGCCAAUCCCAGAAAACCGAUCGUAGUCCGGAUCGCAGCCUGCAACUCGACUGCGUGAAGUCGGAAUCGCUAGUAAUCGCGGAUCAGAAUGCCGCGGUGAAUACGUUCCCGGGUCUUGUACACACCGCCCGUCACACCAUGGGAGUGGGUUCUACCAGAAGUGGCUAGUCUAACCGCAAGGAGGACGGUCACCACGGUAGGAUUCAU
This 1436-nucleotide ribosomal RNA is filed under the name uncultured organism. RNAcentral describes it as "SSU rRNA". It matches the Rfam family "Bacterial small subunit ribosomal RNA". The record is from RNAcentral.